ACAACCAGGAUGUUGGCUUAGAAGCAGCCACUCAUUAAAAGAGUGCGUAAUAGCUCACUGGUCGAGUGACUCUGCGCCGAAAAUUUAACGGGGCUAAACUAUACACCGAAGCUUGGGAUACAUCUAAUGUAUGGUAGGAGAGCGUUCUGUAUGGGGAGAAGUCGUAGCGAAAGCGGCGGUGGACUAUACAGAAGUGAGAAUGCCGGAAUAAGUAGCGAGAAUUAAGUGAGAAUCUUAAUGGCCGAAAGUCUAAGGUUUUUGGAGGAAGGUUCGUCCGCUCCAAGUAAGUCGGGAGCUAAGGUCAGGCCGAAAGGCGUAGCCGAUGCACAUACGGUUGAUAUUCCGUAACCAUCUGUAAUUUAAGCAAAGGGACACUUCAAAAGGGUGUGACCCGGGCGUUGGUUGACCCGGGCGUAAGGGACCGAAAUUAGAGUAGGGAAGCACACUUAGCUGAAGGCGAGAAAAGCUUUGCGUAUAGAAACAGAUGCCCGUACCGCAAACCGACACAGGUGGACAGGAAGAGAAUUCUAAGGCCAGCGGGAGAAGGGUAGUUAAGGAACUCGGCAAAUUGACUCCGUAACUUCGGAAUAAGGAGUGCUCGAAAGAGCCGCAGAGAAUAGGCCCAGGCGACUGUUUAGCAAAAACACAGGUCUCUGCCAAAUCGAAAGAUGAAGUAUAGGGGCUGACACCUGCCCGGUGCCGGAAGGUUAAGAGGAGGAGUGAGAGCUCCGAAUUGAAGCCCCGGUAAACGGCGGCCGUAACUAUAACGGUCCUAAGGUAGCGAAAUUCCUUGUCGGGUAAGUUCCGACCCGCACGAAUGGUGUAACGAUCUGGGCACUGUCUCAACUACCCACCCGGCGAAAUUGUAGUACCGGUGAAGAUGCCGGUUACCUGCGGCAAGACGGAAAGACCCCAUGGAGCUUUACUGUAGCCUGAUAUUGGGUUUCGGAAAUCUAUGUACAGGAUAGGCGGGAGACUGGGAAACAUGAGCGUCAGCUUGUGUGGAGUCGAUGUUGGGAUACCGCCCUUAGGUUUCUGGAAUUCUAACCUGCGGCCGUGAAUCCGGUCGGGGGACAUUGUCAGGUGGGCAGUUUGACUGGGGCGGUCGCCUCCGAAAAGGUAACGGAGGCGCUCAAAGGUUAGCUCAGCACGGACGGAAACCGUGCCUCUGAGUGUAAACGCAAAAGCUAGCCUAACUGCGAGGGUGACGGCCCGAGCAGUAACGAAAGUUGGAGUUAGUGAUCCGGCGGUAUGUGAAUGGAAAUGCCGUCGCUCAACGGAUAAAAGCUACCCUGGGGAUAACAGGCUGAUCUCCCCCAAGAGUCCACAUCGACGGGGAGGUUUGGCACCUCGAUGUCGGCUCAUCACAUCCUGGGGCUGUAUUCGGUCCCAAGGGUUCGGCUGUUCGCCGAUUAAAGUGGUACGCGAGCUGGGUUCAGAACGUCGCGAGACAGUUCGGUCCCUAUCUGUCGUGGGCGCAGGAUAUUUGAGGAGCUCUGUCCUUAGUACGAGAGGACCGGGAUGGACGUACCUCUGGUGCACCAGUUGUCAUGCCAAUGGCACGGCUGGGCAGCUAUGUACGGAACGGAUAAACGCUGAAAGCAUCUAAGCGUGAAGCCGACUCCAAGAUUAGAUAUCCCAUCGUAUAACGAGUAAGACCCCUUGAAGACUACGAGGUUGAUAGGCUGCGUGUGUAAGUGCCGUGAGGCAUUCAGCUUGGCAGUACUAAUAGGUCGAGGGCUUGACCAC
Molecule: ribosomal RNA, 1749 nt
Filed under: human gut metagenome
Description: bacterial LSU rRNA
Rfam family: Bacterial large subunit ribosomal RNA
Source: RNAcentral